Long non-coding RNA from Chrysemys picta bellii (western painted turtle), 1841 nucleotides. RefSeq lists it as uncharacterized. Lineage: Eukaryota; Metazoa; Chordata; Testudines; Emydidae. The record is from RefSeq and is a predicted model, not a curated record.
GUGGUGCAACUUGCACAGCAUCUUCCUGCUGAGACUUCUGCUCCUCAUUCUCACUCACCGUCGCCUCACCUGCUGGGACAGAGAGAGAAACCUCAAACAGGGAUGGAAAAGGGAAGGGCAAACCAAAAGAAGUGCUGGAGAGAUGUCAAAAACCAGGAAGUGAAUUCCCCUAACUCUUCCCCAAAAGGGGAGAGAGGAGGGGAUCAGUUCUGUCUUCCUAUCAAAUCCAAAGAAUCAGUGGGAAGGUGGAAAGCUACUGACAUGUGUCAGUUAGGAUCUGUAGGAAGCCAUAAGCUAUAUAUACCCUGAGGAUACAACACCUGCUGGGGACUAUCCUCCUGAACUCAGAGAGCUCCCAAGGUCAUUGUAGGGUAUCCCAGAUUUUUCCAUCAGGCACUUACCGAUUCGGAGUUAGUUUAAUGUUUCCUCACCUGUGCAGGGACGUCUCAGGAUCUCUCUUUCCCCUGAACCCUGGAGGUCUGGGACCCAUGGCUCUUCCCCUUGUGUCCAGCUGGGAGAUCACAUCAGGUUUGGAAACUGCUCAGAUGAAAGAAAACAAAUGAGAGCAGGAGUCCUGGGCUACCUCGGGCAACAAUGAGCACAUUUUUGAUGAGGAGGAGAAUGGGAGACAGACGAGCGGUGGAUCCAUUCUGCCCAAGAGACAAGCACCGUUUUAAACUCUGGAGCCCAUUCCUUCACAGGAUCAGGUAGCAGCCGAGCAUGAUGCCAGGGAAGGCGCCUCUGGGAAUGAAGAGAACAGGCCAUCAUCGAGUGAUCCACCCUCUGUUGUCCACACCCAGCUUCUGGCAGUCACAGGCUAGGAACACGCAGAGCUUGGCGUUGCAUCCCUGACCAGCUUGGCUAAUAGCCAUUGAUGGACCUAGCGUGAGGAACUGAUCUAAUUCCUUUUUGAACCCACUGAGAGUUUUGGCCUUCAUAGCAUAAUGAACACACAUCUACAGCCCCAAGAUUUUAUACUUAUCUCAUACGUAAAAUUAUACACAAUUUUUGCACUUUUUUUCCCAAAUCCCCCAAACUCUCCUGGCCCUCCUCGCGGUCUGCCAUCUCUGACAGAACAUGGACCCUGCACGGCGCUGCACUAUUGUCAUGAGCGUUGCAAGCCCAGGGUGCAGGACCCUGCAGUAUUUGCAGAGCUGCAGGAAUAGAAGUGGGGGAUGUGAUGAGUCCAUGCAGAACAGCUUGCUGGGGGACAUAGCAACAACCAAUUCAACUUUAAAUGAAUAUUAGACCCGCUCAGCACGAAUGCUAACAUGUUCUCACAUCUUGUAUCAAGUCACUUACUGGACACUGGUUAGGUUUAAAAUUUUCAUGUAUAUUCUCACUCUUGAAUACAACUAUUGAAACAAUUGUAGAAAAAAAUCUAGGUGACAUUCUAUCAUUUAAGCUACUUACUUUUUGCAGUUCACCAAGCUUGGAAUAGAUCAUUUAACUUUUGGAAACAUCCUACUAGGGCAAGACCUCGUGAGUUUAUCCUUCACCGGCCUGGGACUCUUGGGGGGUCACCAUACUAUAAAUAAUAGACAGGAAACUGACUUGAAACAGGAGUGAAACUGACUUAUUGCCAACCCCAAAUUUUCAAAAAUCAUGAAAUUGGCUUAACAAUCAUGACAUUAUGUAAAAAUAAUAGAUUUGGUGUUCUUUGCACAGGCUGACAGAUAGUGGAAUAUCUGUCUCAAUUUUCUCCCUCUCACCUUUCCCAGACUCUGGUCCAGGGGUAGCAAAUUUUAACAGGGCAUCAGCAAUCAUAGAAGAUCAGGGUUGGAAGGGACUUCAGGAGGUCAUCUAGUCCAACCCCCUGUUCAAAGCAGGACCAAUCCCCA